RNAcentral lists this transfer RNA (72 nucleotides) under Pseudomonadota bacterium. RNAcentral's name for it is "tRNA-Met". It matches the Rfam family "tRNA". Rfam says of the family: Transfer RNA (tRNA) molecules are approximately 80 nucleotides in length. Their secondary structure includes four short double-helical elements and three loops (D, anti-codon, and T loops). The record is from RNAcentral. Lineage: Bacteria; Pseudomonadati; Pseudomonadota. RNAcentral also lists the same sequence under 1 other name.
GCUAGCAUAGCUCAGCGGUAGAGCAAUCCUUUCAUAAGGGAGAGGUCGGGGGUUCGAAUCCCUCUGCUAGCA